CCCGCACAAGCGUGAGCAUGUGGUUUAAUUCGAUGCUACACGAAGAACCUUUACCAGGGUUUGACAUACAAGUAGUAGGAGGGAAACUGGACCGACCCUUUCGGGGAGCUUGUACAGGUGCUGCAUGGCUGUCGCCAGCUCGUGUCGUGAGAUGUUGGGUUAAGUCCCGCAACGAGCGCAACCCUCGACCUUAGUUGCCAGCAUUCAGUUGGGCACUCUAAGGUGACUGCCGGCUAAAAGUCGGAGGAAGGUGGGAUGACGUCAAAUCAUCAUGCCCCUUAUGUCCUGGGCUACACACGUACUACAAUGGCAACAACAGAGGGCAGCCAGACCGCGAGGUUGAGCGAAUCCCAAAAUGUUGUCUCAGUUCAGAUUGCAGGCUGCAACUCGCCUGCAUGAAGUCGGAAUUGCUAGUAAUGGCAGGUCAGCAUACUGCCGUGAAUACGUUCCCGGGCCUU
This 458-nucleotide ribosomal RNA is filed under the name uncultured Fastidiosipila sp. RNAcentral's name for it is "bacterial SSU rRNA". It matches the Rfam family "Bacterial small subunit ribosomal RNA", at positions 920 to 1382 of the family's 1533-position model. The record is from RNAcentral. Lineage: Bacteria; Bacillati; Bacillota; Clostridia; Eubacteriales; Oscillospiraceae.